Molecule: unclassified non-coding RNA, 790 nt
Filed under: Hevea brasiliensis (rubber tree)
Lineage: Eukaryota; Viridiplantae; Streptophyta; Magnoliopsida; Malpighiales; Euphorbiaceae
Source: RNAcentral
AGUGAUCUACAUUUGCCCCCAGUCUCUUCAGGACACGAGUGGCACUCCCAUCAUCAACAGUGAAUAACCCAACGGCCAUAUGCUCGGGUGCGAUGAAAUUAUAGCCCAUUGUCCUCGAAUACUCAACGGCAACCUCAAAUACUCGCUUCGUGCUAAUAGAAAAUGGCACAUCUGUGGAUGAAGUAGUACCUCCCCCUCCACCUCUCUGUGUACUAGAAGCCGAAGCAUUAGCGUCAUCAGCAUCGGCAUCACUGCUCCAAAUGUUUCGAACAACUUCACGGGCUUUAUCAAUCUUAAGGCCAGAGCCAAGAAACCCAUUUGGGUCGCGAUCCUCCCCGAUUAAACCCAGCAAGAGAUGCUGGGUAAACCACCAUGUCCUUGCCCAAGGCUCUGGCUUCUUUCUGAGAAAAUAUCACCACCUUUAUUGCUCGCUCCGUAAAUCUCUCAAAAACUGCAGAAAUAGGAAGAAUUCUACGUUUUCUACGUGAACGAGAGCAUUUAAAAGAAAGGGGAUUAUGUGGGCGGCGCCUGUGUGAGAUGGAAAUGCCAAAACAAGAUGAAUAAGAGGAAGAGAUUAUGUUGUUAUUAGAACUAAAUGUUAACAGAGGAUCGAUUCUCUGUGAACGAGAUGGGUUAAGCGGACCCAAAUCCCAUCUCGAGUGAACUGAUAGAGGUGAUGAAGAUAAAACUUCCAUCUUCUUGUUUUGGGUUUCAGUGAAUAAUUACCAGGUAUGCUUGCUUAUAAAUAAAAAAUAUAAGCUUUCCCUCCAAUUGGGGUUUCUGAAAAAAA